Molecule: non-coding RNA, 426 nt
Filed under: Myotis lucifugus (little brown bat)
Lineage: Eukaryota; Metazoa; Chordata; Mammalia; Chiroptera; Vespertilionidae
Description: Eukaryotic large subunit ribosomal RNA
Rfam family: Eukaryotic large subunit ribosomal RNA
Source: Rfam by way of RNAcentral
AGUUUCCCUGGGGAUAGCUGGCGCUCUCACAGACGCACAAAAGACUCCCUUUUAUCCAUCCGGUAAAGCGAAUCAUUAGAGGUCUUGGGGCAGAAAGGACCUCAACCUCGUCUCCAACUUUCUUUCAGUGGGUCAGAAGCCCGGCUCGCUGGCGUGGAGCCGGGCGUGGAAUGCGAGUGCCUAGCUGGCCACUUUUGGUAAGCAGAACUGGCGCUGCGGGGUGAACCCAACGCCUGCUGAAGGCGCCCCUUGCCGACGCUCAUCAGACCCCAGAAAAGGUGUUGGUUGAUAGCGACAGCAGGACGGGGGUCAUGGAAGUCAGAAUCCGCUAAGGAGUGUGUAACAACUCACCUGCGGAAUCAACUAGCCCUGAAAACGGAUGGCGCGGUGCCGCGGGCCCAUACCCGGCUGUAGUUCUUCCAAGGA